This 388-nucleotide long non-coding RNA is filed under the name Brachypodium distachyon (stiff brome). RNAcentral describes it as "long non-coding RNA (BDIS_LNC001918)". The record is from RNAcentral. Lineage: Eukaryota; Viridiplantae; Streptophyta; Magnoliopsida; Poales; Poaceae.
GGUAAAUUAUGUUCUGCUUCCACGCAAACAGCCUGAAGUCCACCUUGCCAAAUACUGCAUAUACUUGGUAGGUUCUGUUAUAACCCUUUGGUGAACUUGCCAAUACAUUCAAUGUAUUGACCCUAGUGGCUGCAUCGUUUAAUGAUGCAGGAAUCUCCGACGACGAGUAAGAUGUACGUUCUGCUUGUUUGGGUUACGGGCCUACAUUCCAACACGCUCUCACCGUGGUGUUGAUGUGCCCUUGUAUCUUUCGCUUUCCGCUGCUAAACAGUUGUUUUAUUUCCAGCUAACCCAUGAGGUUAUGCGAGUUGUAAGUACCUUUUAAAUUCUGGAUGAUUCGUUGUAAUAUUGAGACCUUUGUUCUAUGAUAUUACAUCUUGAAACUUUG